This is a non-coding RNA of Delphinapterus leucas (beluga whale), 1176 nucleotides long. Lineage: Eukaryota; Metazoa; Chordata; Mammalia; Artiodactyla; Monodontidae. The record is from RefSeq and is a predicted model, not a curated record.
CAGGAAGAGCAACCAGCUUCCCAGCCUGCCAGGGCCCUGCAGGAGGACGGCCUUCGGUUUCAUCCCACCCAGCGACUGGCACAGCCGAGCUGUCUAGAGACAGCUCGAAACAAGGAGGAAAGCAGAGGCUACGGAUACCAGCCCCCGGCAGCGCGCCCACAGUUCCCGGUCACCUGCUCCGCCACGGACUCCAAUACCCUUUGCCUCCGAGGGCCUCAACAGCUGCUGCAGAUGCCAGUGGACCCCUGAAGCUUUCAUUACUGAGGACCUCACUGUGGACCCAGCGGUCUGGUCUGCAGAGGACACCAGCAGUUUUCCUCACUGAGGAAAAUAGCGGCUAGAGCAGCCAUCAUAGACCCAGACCACUCCUGCCGCUGAGGACUCCACAGGUUUUCUGGCGUUUACAGAUGACAGUGACUGAGUCUCUACCCGCUUCUGUCCUCCUCCUCUCCGGCUGCCAGAGCCACCAUGGACAGUUUGGCGCUGGGAGCCCGCACUUGCAGCCAUCUUGCCUCUUCAGGAGGCACUUUAGCCUCCAACGACCGCUCAGGUUCCCGGAUGUGGCGGGAUUCCCGCCACCCGCCUCUUCCGCUGUGCGCAUGCUCACAGCUAGCCCGAGCGCUGGCGGCACAGCAGAGAGCCUGACGAGACGCUCGCGGACGCUGAGGAGGCUCGGACCCCGACGAGGCUCGGACCCCAGGCUCCAGACCCAGCGCUGUCGCCUGUGCCCACAGCUACACCUGUAGCUCUGCAUCUGCACACAGCAGACCCCUGUCACUGGCCUCCACUGCCGCGCACAAGCCCGCGACUAGCCGGCCAGCCCAAGGAGUGCACACUACAGCCAAGGCCUCUCAGCCGCUCCUGGGCCUGGUCCAGUCUGUCUUCCCUGUUAGUUCACGAACUGGAGCCUGGACAUGGAGCUUCAGGAGUGACUGAGGAAAGAGGCAGCCCACUCCGAAUUGUACUUCCAAAUGGCUGCUAUCUAUUCGUGAUCCAUUGGAAAACUGCCUUUUCCAUCACCGGGUUUAUACAGUGAGAGCAGAGCUUGAGGAAAUGAAAGGCAGCUGGUGCUUUGGUCAAGUCUCAGGAACUCUGUCUACAAAUUACAAGGGAGAGGAACUCCACCUUUGCCAGGACGAUGCUCUCCUUUAAUGGCUGUUGAUGGAGCAAGCUGCC